RNAcentral lists this ribosomal RNA (457 nucleotides) under uncultured bacterium. RNAcentral's name for it is "partial 16S ribosomal RNA". It matches the Rfam family "Bacterial small subunit ribosomal RNA", at positions 338 to 795 of the family's 1533-position model. The record is from RNAcentral.
CCUACGGGGGGCAGCAGUGGGGAAUAUUGCACAAUGGGGGGAACCCUGAUGCAGCGACGCCGCGUGGGUGAAGGAGCACCUCGGUGCGUAAAGCCCUAUCGGCAGGGAAGAAAGGCGGGCGGGGCCCGUCUGGACGGUACCUGACUAAGAAGCCCCGGCUAACUACGUGCCAGCAGCCGCGGUAAUACGUAGGGGGCAAGCGUUAUCCGGAUUCACUGGGUGUAAAGGGAGCGGAGACGGCGACGCAAGUCUGGAGUGAAAGCCCGGGGCCCAACCCCGGGACUGCUCUGGAAACUGCGGCGCUGGAGUACGGGAGGGGCAGGCGGAAUUCCUGGUGUAGCGGUGAAAUGCGUAGAUAUCAGGAGGAACAUCAGUGGCGAAGGCGACUAUCUGGCACAUAACUGACGCUGAGGAGCGAAAGCGUGGGUAGCAAACAGGAUUAGAUACCCGAGUAGUC